AUGGCGGGCUUCCCUCUAGGCACAGGAGGAAGCGGCCGCGACAGCUCCGCGUCGCCGCCCGGCGUGCACCCGUCCGACGCGUCCACCUUCCUCUACGCCACGCGCGGGGGCGGCUUCCAGCUAUGGGGCCAGCCGCAGGACCAGCAGCAGCUCACGCACCCCUUCUACGCCCCCAACCUCAUCCGCUUCGCCACCGAUGACCUCCCCGCAGGCGCCGCGCAGUCGCUCGCCGGCGCGGCCUCCUCCUCCUCCUCACGCGGGGCGCGCGCUGCCGCCCUGGCCGGCACCGGCGGCGGCACCAGCUGCCAGGACUGCGGCAACCAGGCCAAGAAGGACUGCCAGCACCAGCGCUGCCGCACCUGCUGCAAGUCCCGGGGCUUCGCCUGCUCCACCCACGUCAAGUCCACCUGGGUUCCCGCCUCCAAGCGCCGCGAGCGCCAGCAGCAGCUCACCGCGCUCGCCGCCUCCGCCGCCGCGACCACGGGCGGGGCUGGCCCCUCACGCGACCUCACCAAGCGCCCCCGCGCUCGCCUCGCGGCCACCACGCCCACCACCUCCUCAGGGGAUCAGCAGAUGGUGACGGUGGCGGAGAGGUUCCCGCGGGAGGUGAGCUCGGAGGCGGUGUUCCGAUGCGUGCGUCUCGGGCCGGUGGACCAGGCCGAGGCGGAGCUCGCGUACCAGACCACCGUCAGCAUCGGCGGCCACGUGUUCAAGGGAAUCCUCCACGACGUCGGCCCCAGCAACGCCCACGCCCAGCUGCAAGCUGCCGCAGGAGGCAGCGGCGGCGGAGGCGGCGACUACCAGUUCCGCCUGACCGGCGACGUGUCCCCGCCGAGCACGGGCGCGGAAGCGGGCGACGCAGGCGGCGGCAACAACCACAACAUCGUCGUGUCAUCGGCUGUGGUGAUGGAUCCGUACCCGACGCCCGGGCUCUACGGCUCGUUCCCGGCCACCACGCCCUUCUUCCACGGCCACCCCUACCAGAGACAGUGA
RNAcentral lists this ribosomal RNA (993 nucleotides) under Triticum aestivum (bread wheat). Its description in RNAcentral is "partial small subunit ribosomal RNA". Lineage: Eukaryota; Viridiplantae; Streptophyta; Magnoliopsida; Poales; Poaceae. The record is from RNAcentral.